UGAAAUGCGAAAAGUAAUGCGAUUUGCAUGAAUCUGUGAGUCAUCAAGUCUUUGAACGCACCUUGCACCGUAUGAGCUAAUUGUACGGUAUACCUGUUUGAGAAUCGUAAAACCCCCUCUUCAACUCUCUCUCUCUCGAGGGUCUUGAAGGAUGUGUCGGUUGUGCGGGGGCUUCUCGCACUCUGAUCAAAUAGAGUAGGUUUGGAUCAGGCUGGUGGCCUGGGACACUGUGUGCUAGAGACUAAACAGUUUCGACUGUCCUGUCUUCUCACGGUGCGUCCCAUGGUCAUUCCAAAGCUGGCCUGUUUGUCCGACCCUUUAACUGCGCCAAGGUUCGUCCUUGGGCAACCCCACUCUUUGAUCUCAAAUCAGGUAAGGCUACCCGCUGAACUUAA
RNAcentral lists this unclassified non-coding RNA (395 nucleotides) under uncultured fungus. Its description in RNAcentral is "sequence contains ITS1". The stretch from base 1 to 107 matches the Rfam family "5.8S ribosomal RNA", at positions 49 to 154 of the family's 154-position model. The record is from RNAcentral. Lineage: Eukaryota; Fungi.